UCUAGUGGCGGACGGGUGAGUAACGCGUGGGUAACCUGCCUUAUACAGGGGGAUAACAACCAGAAAUGGUUGCUAAUACCGCAUAAGCGCACAGGACCGCAUGGUCCGGUGUGAAAAACUCCGGUGGUAUAAGAUGGACCCGCGUUGGAUUAGCUAGUUGGCAGGGCAACGGCCUACCAAGGCGACGAUCCAUAGCCGGCCUGAGAGGGUGAACGGCCACAUUGGGACUGAGACACGGCCCAGACUCCUACGGGAGGCAGCAUG
RNAcentral lists this ribosomal RNA (264 nucleotides) under uncultured bacterium. RNAcentral describes it as "partial 16S ribosomal RNA". It matches the Rfam family "Bacterial small subunit ribosomal RNA", at positions 91 to 353 of the family's 1533-position model. The record is from RNAcentral.